Molecule: ribosomal RNA, 442 nt
Filed under: uncultured bacterium
Lineage: Bacteria
Description: bacterial SSU rRNA
Rfam family: Bacterial small subunit ribosomal RNA
Source: RNAcentral
AACGCGAAGAACCUUACCUACCCUUGACAUCCUGUGGAUUCUGAAGAGAUUCGGAAGUGCCGAAAGGAACACAGAGACAGGUGCUGCAUGGCUGUCGUCAGCUCGUGUUGUGAGAUGUUGGGUUAAGUCCCGUAACGAGCGCAACCCUUGUCCUUAGUUGCCAGCAAGUUAAGUUGGGGACUCUAAGGAGACUGCCGGUGAUGAACCGGAGGAAGGCGGGGACGACGUCAAGUCAUCAUGGCCUUUAUGGGUAGGGCUACACACGUGCUACAAUGGGUCGUACAGAGAGUAGCCAACCCGCGAGGGGGAGCCAAUCUCUUAAAGCGUCUCGUAGUCCGGAUUGGAGUCUGCAACUCGACUCCAUGAAGUUGGAAUCGCUAGUAAUCGCGAAUCAGCAACGUCGCGGUGAAUACGUUCCCGGGCCUUGUACACACCGCUAGUC